AUUGAACGCUGGCGGCAUGUCUUACACAUGCAAGUCGAACGGUAACAGGUCCUCGGGUGCUGACGAGUGGCGAACGGGUGAGUAAUACAUCGGAACGUGCCUAGUAGUGGGGGAUAACUACUCGAAAGAGUGGCUAAUACCGCAUGAGAUCUACGGAUGAAAGCAGGGGAUCGCAAGACCUUGUGCUACUAGAGCGGCCGAUGGCAGAUGAGGUAGUUGGUGGGAUAAAAGCUUACCAAGCCGACGAUCUGUAGCUGGGUGGAGAGGACGAUCAGCCACACUGGGACUGAGACACGGCCCAGACUCCUACGGGAGGCAGCAGUGGGGAAUUUUGGACAAUGGGCGCAAGCCUGAUCCAGCAAUGCCGCGUGCAGGAUGAAGGCCUUCGGGUUGUAAACUGCUUUUGUACGGAGCGAAAAGCCCCGGGUUAAUACCCUGGGGUCAUGACGGUACCGUAAGAAUAAGCACCGGCUAACUACGUGCCAGCCGCCGCGGUAA
Molecule: ribosomal RNA, 498 nt
Filed under: uncultured bacterium
Lineage: Bacteria
Description: partial 16S ribosomal RNA
Rfam family: Bacterial small subunit ribosomal RNA
Source: RNAcentral